UUGCACCGAGCGGAUGAGUUGCGAACGGGUGAGUAACGCGUAGGUAACCUGCCUCUUAGCGGGGGAUAACUAUUGGAAACGAUAGCUAAUACCGCAUAAAAGUCGACAUCGCAUGAUGUUGACUUGAAAGGUGCAAUUGCAUCACUAAGAGAUGGACCUGCGUUGUAUUAGCUAGUUGGUGAGGUAACGGCUCACCAAGGCGACGAUACAUAGCCGACCUGAGAGGGUGAUCGGCCACACUGGGACUGAGACACGGCCCAGACUCCUACGGGAGGCAGCAGUAGGGAAUCUUCGGCAAUGGGGGCAACCCUGACCGAGCAACGCCGCGUGAGUGAAGAAGGUUUUCGGAUCGUAAUGCUCUGUUGUAAGAGAAGAACGAGUGUGAGAGUGGAAAGUUCACACUGUGACGGUAACUUACCAGAAAGGGACGGCUAACUACGUGCCAGCAGCCGCGGUAAUACGUAGGUCCCGAGCGUUAUCCGGAUUUAUUGGGCGUAAAGCGAGCGCAGGCGGUUAGAUAAGUCUGAAGUUAAAGGCUGUGGCUUAACCAUAGUACGCUUUGGAAACUGUUUAACUUGAGUGCAGAAGGGGAGAGUGGAAUUCCAUGUGUAGCGGUGAAAUGCGUAGAUAUAUGGAGGAACACCGG
RNAcentral lists this ribosomal RNA (646 nucleotides) under uncultured Bacilli bacterium. Its description in RNAcentral is "bacterial SSU rRNA". It matches the Rfam family "Bacterial small subunit ribosomal RNA", at positions 78 to 712 of the family's 1533-position model. The record is from RNAcentral. Lineage: Bacteria; Bacillati; Bacillota; Bacilli.